Equus caballus (horse) is the source of this 3006-nucleotide non-coding RNA. The record is from RefSeq and is a predicted model, not a curated record. NCBI's taxonomy places the organism in Eukaryota, Metazoa, Chordata, Mammalia, Perissodactyla, Equidae.
CAUAAAAUUUAAAAAGGAAAUCAUCCACAAACUCCAGUACUUUGAUUAUCAGUAAGAAGUUACUUGUGACACUUUUCACAACAGAUGACAUACACUUGAGGACAACUACAAGACAGACUCUUGAAAGGGCGCCACAGUAGGGCCGCACAAGGCAGGCACGGCGCUGGGAAGCAGGCGGUGAGGAGGCCAGAGCAGGUAAUGGCAGAGGGACUAGCAGUCAGCAGAGCUAUUCGGGAGGCGGAUUAUGCUUGAGCUGAGAUGCGGAGGAGGAGGAAGGGAUUCAGAGGGGCUCCCUACGGAUUCCAUUCACUAAUACAGUUUGGUUUGAGAUAGACUGAUUUUGAGGUUCUUCUAGAACAAACCUUCAGAAAUAGAUGUGACAGACACAUGCAUCAGAGGGACAGAGGUCCGAGCUGAAGACAAAGGUGAGCGUAAAAAGUCUCUGUAGAAACUGAGGGGAGAUGCCAGAGGGAGAAGAGAGCAAAGGUGGUUGUCCAGGCAACACUGACAACAUGAGGAGGAGAGGUUGUGCAGAUUUCAAAUAUGACUGACAGGCAAAGGAGAGACACAGCAAACCUCAAGUGAUGUUAUGGAAGCCAAAGGAAGACUUUCCAGAAAGGAGAGAGAGGGUCAAAGGUCACUUCAGUAACUGAAGACAGUGGAGCCUGGAGCUGUGCAAUGAGAAGGGGGGAAUGCAGGUGGAUCAGCAUCGUGUCCGUGAUGGAAACAAGAAAAGACGAAGGAAGCUGAGAUCCUGGCGGAAUAAAGUGUGGCCUGGAACUAAAGGGUACCGCCCACUCCCCACUGAGAAUCCAGGCCGAUGAGCAUCCCUCUUAUGGAUUGGAACGCUGAGGUGGGAGAAGGUCUCAGAAGAUUGUUGGGAAGCCUGGCGUGGGCGCAGCAUCAGGUUGGCAAGGUACUUUAGCUCUUUGCCCUUCAGCUUUCCCAAGCAGUGCCUGGCACCUGGUAACUGCUCAAUUAGUCAGGGUUGUUGUUAAAUAUCCUUGAAGGACAUUUCAUCCAGGCUAAGGUAUCGCCUGUAGAAUUGUCCCUGUCCCCACUAAAAGCCAUGGCCUAAGGCCACGACCCGCAACAUCAGCGCAAAGCACCCCCAGUGGCAGCAUAAACUGGUCCCCUGGAGGAUUGCAUUCCGCAUGGGGGCACUGCCCUCUGCUGGCCGCCCUGUGUGUGUGCAGCUUAGCCUGGCAGCCUCUGGCCUUCAUGGGCUGGUCCCGCCCGAGGGCGGUCUCCGGUAGGUAUGGUGCAGGGGGAUCCUACUCACAGCCGCUGCCUGUCUUUAGGGAUCUUUUUCUUCAUGUAGGUUCUCUGAGUGUCUGAGACCAACAUUUACUGAUGUGUCUCCCACGUGGUGGUGGGGGGGGGGGGCGCUUCUUGCUUGAAACUACAAGAAUUCUGGGCAUAUAAGAAGUCCGUCCAAAUUCUGACCCCACCAACCUAGCAUGGCUUCUGGAAGCCUAAGGCCCCAUCCCCGGGACAACCCAGGCCUGCUAAGUUCCCAUCUGAAAAAGCUCUGGGCUGUCACAAGAGCUUACUGUUUGUUCUAGCCAAUAUUUGACCAUAGGCCUCUGACACCCUGCCCACCCCCCACCCCCAGACCUUUCUUAGAGCAUUUACUUUAAAAAGCUUACAAUUGCAAAUCCUUCCUCUGUCCCUUUGAGAUAUGUACGUAUGUAUCUCCUGCAACCCAGGAACGUCUUUCUCAAGGACCCAAAAGCCCUUCCUCUGAAAUGGAAUCAGGAAGGAUGGGCCUCUGUCCCCCUGUCUCUGUGGAGACGCAGCUGGACUAGUCACUCUGGCACUGACCAACCCUUGCGGUUUUUCACUCUCCUGAGUCUACCUGGGCCCACUCACCCCUCUCCCUCCUCUCUCAUUCUCCCUCAAACGGACCAGUCACCUCAGCACCCACUGGACAGAGCUCACAUUUCCCCUACUGUCAGUAGUUACAGAAUAAAACCCCAUUUCAUCGCUUUAACGAAUGUCCAGCUGUGUUUAUCUCUGACAAAUCCUGCUCAGCCUGCAGUUCCUGCCUUGGGUGUGGGGCGGAAGCUUCCGUAGGAAGGCAAUCCUCACAGAGCCGGUGGGCACCAGAACCUGGGAGGGGGUGCAGCGCAGCCAAGCUCUCAGCCUCUCACCACAAUAGGGCUGCACAGGCAGAAAGAAAGGAAGGAAGAGGGGAGCACAGCCACCAUGCUGGGAAGGAGCCGCCCCCUCUGAGCUGCUCAGGGGACGCCCAGAGAGCAGGGGCACUCCCCUGGACCCCCCCUCCCCAGGAACUGAGGAUGCCUCCACCGUGGUGGUUCAGUGAGAAUUCAGAGACAGACACACACAUGCCUCGGUCUGACGAGGAGCUGGGGCAGUGCAACACUGGGGAAGCCCAGAACCUGAAGAAGGAGAAGCAACCAUUUGUGAGACACCCUCCCCCAACCCUGAGCCUGGACCAGUGAUCUUCAGCACCCCAGACCCCAGGCCCUAAGGGGGAAUGCAGCUCGGGGAGCAGAUGGCCCAGGAGGCUGGGCUUGGUUUAAGUUUCAGCUGCAGGGCUGGAGGCUGGAGGUACAGGGCAGCCUUAUGGGGUACGUUCCCCAGGCCCAGGGCCUGACCUGCAGAGACCCAGAAAAACUGACCCAAGAAGGUCCCCUCCUUGUUUCGCCCCCUUCCAUCUCUCUAGGCUUUUCAGAGGGUCUGAGGGGUUCGCCUCAAGCUGUCACUUGUCUUUCUCACCUUCCCUGCCCUCCUUCUCAAGGAACCAGUCCCUCCUCUCGAAUCACUUCCUUGGGACUUCAUGACAUUAUGCUCACCCACUCUCCUCCUGUGUCCUUGGCAGCCUCUCGUAUCCUCGACGGGCUGUCUUCACCUGCCCACCCCACGAAUGCUGGCACUCCCCAGGUUCUAGUCCGGGCUUUUCCCAUUCACACUCCAACCCCAGGCCUCAGGGAUAAGUCAUUAUUGUUUGAAGAUUCUCAGCUCUUCAGGCCGCAUCUUCCU